RNAcentral lists this ribosomal RNA (403 nucleotides) under uncultured bacterium. RNAcentral describes it as "partial 16S ribosomal RNA". It matches the Rfam family "Bacterial small subunit ribosomal RNA", at positions 30 to 526 of the family's 1533-position model. The record is from RNAcentral.
AUUGAACGCUGGCGGCAGGCCUAACACAUGCAAGUCGAGCGAGCGGCGGACGGGUGAGUAAUGUAUGGGGACUGCCCGCUAGAGCGGGAUAACUACUCGAAACGGUAGCUAAUACCCCCUACUAGCUGAUAACCCAUCGGGGAUUAGCUAGUAGGUGAGGUAAUGGCUCACCUCGUCGACGAUCCCUAGCUGGUCUGAGAGGAUGAUCAGCCACACUGGGACUGAGACACGGCCCAGACUCCUACGGAGGCAGCAGUGGGGAAUAUUGCACAAUGGGCGCAAGCCUGAUGCAGCCAUGCCGCGUGUAUGAAGAAGGCCCUAGGGUUGUAAAGUACUUUCAGUCGGGAGGCGUUACCGACAGAAGAAGCACCGGCUAACUCCGUGCCAGCAGCCGCGGUAAUUC